This 989-nucleotide unclassified non-coding RNA is filed under the name Anthonomus grandis grandis. RNAcentral's name for it is "ceramide-1-phosphate transfer protein". The record is from RNAcentral. Lineage: Eukaryota; Metazoa; Arthropoda; Insecta; Coleoptera; Curculionidae.
CAUUUUCAUUAAAAAAAAGUAUAUUUGAUUUGUUUAGAUCCAUUCAACAUCUCGUAGGAAAACACAAAAUUAUUAGUGAAAAAUGGCACAAAACCAAAGGGACCCAGAAAAAUUUGAUAUUAAAGUGGUCCAUGAUAAAUUUGAAGCAUCACUACAAGAGGACGACGAUGUGGAUUUGGAACUUUACUUGGAGAGCUUUGAGGAACUGAACAAAUUCUUCAACUUGAUGGGAACAGUAUUUGGGUUUGUCAGCAAAGAUCUCAGGCAGAAAAUGGACUAUUUAAACAAUCUUGUUAUUGACAAUGAUACAAAUCAACAAUACAAGACAGUGAAGAGGAUGAUUGAGCAUGAAAAGGAGAAUGAAUUGCUUCACAAGAAAGGGUACAUCUCGGGUAGUCGAACUUUACUAAGGAUACAUAGAGGCCUUGAUUUUAUACAGCUUUUUUUAAAGAAGAUAGGAGAUUUGGAAAAUCAUGAAUCAACAGUAGUAGCUUGCCGUGAUGCUUAUGAGCAAACACUUGCUAAGCACCACUCUUUUUUAGUUAAAAAUGGGGCCAAGGUUGCUAUGUACACCUUACCUACAAGAGAACAACUUUUAAAGAAACUCAUUACGGUGGGUUACUAAGGCCCUAGAUGUACAGGUAUUCUCAGACGCCAUAUUGGUCCCUGCGAGGUGUGGAGCGUUUAACAACAACACGGUCGUCGAUGACCAACCAGAGCGGUUUCUCCCACCACAGACCGGAAGAGUUCAAAUUAUGAAAUAGUUUUAUGGAAGCAAUUCGCAGGUCCACAAAAAAGAACGACUGCAGAAAAUGGAUUGUAGUGCCCUAAAAAUCGAUUCAACACGAUCAAGGAGAAAUGUUAGAAAAGAACUGGGUGUGGUUUUAUGCCAGUAUAUGUUAUAAUUGAUAGGAAAGAAGUGUUGCCGAUGUCCAAAAUUUGUCUUUUUUUUGUUUCUGUUUUUUUGUUUAGUAAAUAUUACUACCAUU